UGGGGAAUCUUAGGCAAUGGGGGAAACCCUGACCUAGCCAUGCCGCGUGGAGGAAGACACCCCUACGGGGCGUAAACUCCUUUUCUGCCGGAAGAAAACCCUGUUUUGCAGGGCGUGACGGUACGGCAGGAAUAAGCACCGGCUAACUCCGUGCCAGCAGCCGCGGUAAUACGGAGGGUGCAAGCGUUGUCCGGAAUCACUGGGCGUAAAGGGUGUGUAGGCGGGGCAGCAAGUCAGGGGUGAAAGCCCGCGGCUCAACCGUGGAAGUGCCCUUGAAACUGCUGCUCUUGAGUCCUGGAGAGGUUGCCGGAAUUCGUGGUGUAGCGGUGAAAUGCGUAGAUAUCACGAGGAACACCAGAGGCGAAAGCGGGCAACUGGACAGGUACUGACGCUGAGGCACGAGAGCGUGGGGAGCAAACA
This 420-nucleotide ribosomal RNA is filed under the name uncultured bacterium. Its description in RNAcentral is "bacterial SSU rRNA". It matches the Rfam family "Bacterial small subunit ribosomal RNA", at positions 355 to 774 of the family's 1533-position model. The record is from RNAcentral.